GUGGGGAAUAUUGGACAAUGGGCGCAAGCCUGAUCCAGCCAUGCCGCGUGAGUGAUGAAGGCCUUAGGGUUGUAAAGCUCUUUUGUCCGGGAAGAUAAUGACUGUACCGGAAGAAUAAGCCCCGGCUAACUUCGUGCCAGCAGCCGCGGUAAUACGAAGGGGGCUAGCGUUGUUCGGAAUCACUGGGCGUAAAGCGCACGUAGGCGGACCAUUAAGUCAGGGGUGAAAGCCUGGAGCUCAACUCCAGAACUGCCUUUGAUACUGAUGGGCUCGAGUAUGGAAGAGGUUGGUGGAACUGCGAGUGUAGAGGUGAAAUUCGUAGAUAUUCGCAAGAACACCGGUGGCGAAGGCGGCCAACUGGUCCAUUACUGACGCUGAGGUGCGAAAGCGUGGGGAGCAAACAGGAUUAGAAACCCCUGUAGUCC
Molecule: ribosomal RNA, 425 nt
Filed under: uncultured bacterium
Lineage: Bacteria
Description: partial 16S ribosomal RNA
Rfam family: Bacterial small subunit ribosomal RNA
Source: RNAcentral